Molecule: long non-coding RNA, 579 nt
Organism: Oreochromis aureus
Lineage: Eukaryota; Metazoa; Chordata; Actinopteri; Cichliformes; Cichlidae
Exons: 3
Source: RefSeq, a predicted model, not a curated record
CUCUGUCUCGCUAUGACAGAGAAAUGUAUAUGCUCAAUAUUGCUGUUUAAACUGAUGCUCAAAUUUCCAAGCACCACCUGAACGCCUCAUCGGUCUUUAACUACUCACUGCACCAACUGUCGUCAUUCCGCUUUGCUCUCUGCUGUGGAACUUGACUCGCAUCUGUGCUUUGCCUGUGUGCAGAAGAAGAACAAGGACCAGAUCUCCAGUCUUCUCUCUCACAUCCCAACCCCCCAACCCCUCUAUCCUCUGUACUGCUCCACCUGUUGUCUCUGCCUUCUUUCCAUCUGUAUUUCACCCUGUGGUUUGUGAGAAAUUUUGCCAAACCAAGAAUCUUAUUGCGGUUUGAUUUCAAAGCCGCGUCUCUAAUUUUAGAGUUCGAAGGAACUCUAAUUCACGGUUUAAUUGGGAUUUCCCAGCCGUGUCUUUCCUGCUCUGUCUGUUCUCUCUGCUAAAUUUUCUCUCUACCUGUUUUUCACUCCUGGCUUGCUGCUGAAUAAUGGCAAGCCAAUAAAGCAAUAAAGAGUGCAUAUUUUGCCUCAACCUAUGAACAAACUGAACAAACAAAGAAAACUCUGC